AGAGUUUGAUCCUGGCUCAGAACGAACGCUGGCGGCGUGCUUAACACAUGCAAGUCGAGUGCGCGUACCGUAGCAAUACGGUAUGGCGCACGGCGCACGGGUGCGUAACACGUGGGCAAUCCGCCCUUCGAUGGGGAAUAACUCCGGGAAACCGAAGCUAAUUCCGCAUAACAUUCCUUGGACUUAGGUUCGAGGACUCAAAGCCGUAAGGCGUCGAAGGAGGAGCCCGCGCCCGAUUAGCUAGUUGGUGAGGUAACGGCUCACCAAGGCAAUGAUCGGAAGCUGGUCUGAGAGGAUGGCCAGCCACACUGGAACUGAGACACGGUCCAGACUCCUACGGGAGGCAGCAGUGGGGAAUCUUGCGCAAUGGGCGAAAGCCUGACGCAGCGACGCCGCGUGGGGGAUGAAGCAUUUCGGUGUGUAAACCCCUUUCGACUGGGACGAAUACCUCGCAAGAGGGGUGACGGUACCAGUAGAAGAAGCCCCGGCUAACUACGUGCCAGCCGCCGCGGUAAUAC
RNAcentral lists this ribosomal RNA (518 nucleotides) under uncultured bacterium. Its description in RNAcentral is "bacterial SSU rRNA". It matches the Rfam family "Bacterial small subunit ribosomal RNA", at positions 8 to 526 of the family's 1533-position model. The record is from RNAcentral.